This 119-nucleotide ribosomal RNA is filed under the name Helianthus annuus (common sunflower). The record is from RNAcentral. Lineage: Eukaryota; Viridiplantae; Streptophyta; Magnoliopsida; Asterales; Asteraceae.
UGUUGCGAUCAUACCAGCACUAAUGCACCGGAUCCCAUCAGAACUCCGCAGUUAAGCGUGCUUGGGCGAGAGUAGUACUAGGAUGGUGACCCCCUGGGAAGUCCUCGUGUUGCAACCCC